GGAGAUUUGAGAUUAUUUGAUUAUCAUGGACAAUGUUAUAUUUACAGCAUUAAAGCUUCCACUUGGCAAAACUACUGUGAUGCAUUUGGUUGCAAGAGAAACUUUGCCAGAGCCAAAUUCCCAGGGUCAAAGGAACCGUGAAAAGACUGGAGAGAGCAAUUGUUGUGUCAUUCUGUAAAUACUUCCACUUAUUUCUGCUAACCGUGGUGUAAUAUAGUCCUUGUCUUUCAUGCUGCUGGUACAAAAAAAAAUAACAUUGCUUCAAGAACUCUUUUUAAAAACAAAUCUGUCCAUGAAAACGAUAUUUAAAAACUGGAGCAUUUCUGUUUUUAAAGCAGUUCUGUUACCAUGAUCAUUUUUGUUAAUGUUCCAUUACUUCCUCUAAAGCCUUCUAGUUUCUAUUUAUUUCUAUAUAAGGACAGGCAGAAUUAAACUGAAGAUUUUUUACACCACUGAACCCAUGCUAUAACCAUGCUCUGCAGAAUUAACGAUACAUGUGUAUCAGUGCUUUUAAAAAAAAAAUACUUUUUAACCCAAGCAUUUCUUGGAGGAAAUAUGCACUGCGGAUUGCAGUGUUAAUGUUGCCUUGUUGACCAGAUGAUGAAGCCAGACUUAAAUAUUAAAUUUCAGUAAGGACAUGGCAGUUAGUUGUGAAUUAAUACAAAUUCCACAAACACUGAACAACCUGCAAAUUUCAUAAUUAUUAAAAUAUCGGUAAAUUUAAGAAUUAGGUUAUGGAAGUGGAUGUGCCUGUAUUUUGAUGAGAGUUUAUAGAUUUGAUUUCAAAGAUUCUCUCUCUAUGCACUGCAAUAUGUUAACAUUGCCUACAAAGGCAUAUUUUGUUGCACAAAGCAUUUUGUAGCCUUGAUGAGAGAGGAUGAAGCUUUGUUCAAGCUUUUCUCUUUCUUACUGCUGAAUAUCAUUUACUGUAUUUGUGGUAGAAAGUUCUAUUAAUCAUCUUGUCUCUAUCAAUAAUGUUUUUGUCUUAUGUCUUACUGUUGACUGGAUAUUUCUAACCUGUCUCAAACUUCAAACUUCUUAACCAUAAACUAUUUUAGUAGAUGUAUUAAUUUGCAUUUCUGUAUUUAGUGCUUGCAAUUGUGCAAAAGAUGGGGAAACUGAAGUAUCAAUUGGCCCAUAUUUGUUCUGGAAGUAGGCCUUCCCCUUCCUUUUGUAGAAAAUUACAAAUGAUAUGCUAAUUAAAAUCUAGAGAAUUUGCACAGCACUGAAGCAUGAGCUACUUUCAUCUGAAUCUGUAAAAAAAAAAAAAGUUUUUAUAUUUUUCGGUGGGGGAGGUUAUUUCUUCCCAGCUGAAUUACAAAUGUGUAGAAUAUAUUUAAUAAGAAUCUUAUACAGUACUGAGAAUAGAACUUAUUAACAAGCAUAGAUUUCCUUGUAGUAUAACAGAAUAUACCAAUGUAAGUAACAUUAGCAGCUUUAAAAUGUUGCAGGUUGACUGUGUUCUAUAUCUAAUAGAUGCAUCUUCCCAGGUUGAACUCAAUGGUAUAUGUAAUAGUUUUACAGAUUGUAGGCAUGGUAUCUUAAUUGAUUUUAUUUUUUCCCUUUAUCUGUUUAUUGCUUUUAAUAUGCUUUACAUGCUAUGGUUCUUACAAAAUAUUGUUCAUAUUGAUCAGGAUAAAAUUUGUAUAGAGCUAAGUUUUGCAAUGAUUGUAAAUAUCACUGAACAUUUUCUUUCUGCAACCUGUACUGAUAGAUUACUCCUGUAAACUAAAUAAAAUAUUGCAAUUCAUGA
Long non-coding RNA from Leucoraja erinaceus (little skate), 1753 nucleotides. RefSeq lists it as uncharacterized. Lineage: Eukaryota; Metazoa; Chordata; Chondrichthyes; Rajiformes; Rajidae. The transcript has 2 exons. The record is from RefSeq and is a predicted model, not a curated record.